This 495-nucleotide ribosomal RNA is filed under the name uncultured bacterium. Its description in RNAcentral is "partial 16S ribosomal RNA". It matches the Rfam family "Bacterial small subunit ribosomal RNA", at positions 28 to 507 of the family's 1533-position model. The record is from RNAcentral.
GAUGAACGCUGGCGGCGUGCCUAAUACAUGCAAGUAGAACGCUGAAGGAGGAGCUUGCUCUUCUGGAUGAGUUGCGAACGGGUGAGUAACGCGUAGGUAACCUGCCUGGUAGCGGGGGAUAACUAUUGGAAACGACAGCUAAUACCGCAUGACAACAGUUAUUGCAUGAUAACUGUUUAAAAGGGGCAACUGCUCCACUACCAGAUGGACCUGCGUUGUAUUAGCUAGUUGGUGAGGUAACGGCUCACCAAGGCGACGAUACAUAGCCGACCUGAGAGGGUGAUCGGCCACACUGGGACUGAGACGCGGCCCAGACUCCUACGGGAGGCAGCAGUAGGGAAUCUUCGGCAAUGGACGGAAGUCUGACCGAGCAACGCCGCGUGAGUGAAGAAGGUUUUCGGAUCGUAAAGCUCUGUUGUAAGAGAAGAACGAGUGUGAGAGUGGAAAGUUCACACUGUGACGGUAUCUUACCAGAAAGGGACGGCUAACUACGUG